Molecule: long non-coding RNA, 579 nt
Organism: Eptesicus fuscus (big brown bat)
Lineage: Eukaryota; Metazoa; Chordata; Mammalia; Chiroptera; Vespertilionidae
Exons: 4
Source: RefSeq, a predicted model, not a curated record
UUGAAUAUUUUUCAGUUUCUAAAGGUUCCUCCUUUCCCUCUCCCCAAAGGUUUGGGACAUGUUUCUGGUAGUUUGGUUUUACUCUGCUUGAGUGGCACAAUGUUGUAUCCCAUCCUCACGUGUCCCCUCCAUCAGUGUUCAUGUCCAGGCUCUGAGACCGAGGACAGCAACUCUGCCCAGCCACAGGGAGGACAGCCAAGGUCGGAACCAGAGAGGCACGGUCAGGACGAGGACGCAGAGUACGAACCAAAGAAAGGAGAGGAAGCACAGGCUCAGGUCCGAGGAGGCCAGGUGAGGCAGCACAAGGUUAGCAGCACACAGGUGCCCUGAGCUCAGGCAAGUAAACGAACAGCUGGGUCCAGGCCAGACGCAUGGGGACCUCGCCCAGCCCAAGGUCCCAGGCUUCCAGUAAACAGCAUCUCCAGGUGUGGCUAGGUCCUCCCAGAAGCUGCUUGACGGGGUGGAGAGAGAGCCAAGGCUUUGGAGUCGUACGUGUACGAGAAUUCGGGUCUUGGCCACAUCACUUACUAGUUGUGAUCUUGGGCAGAUCUCAAUGUUUCUGAGGCAUUUGGAGAAUUA